GCUUCUAUAGUGAAGCCAUUUCACCUAGCCUUUUCAAAGCUAAAACGUAUUUCUACUAGAAGCU
Molecule: transfer RNA, 64 nt
Filed under: Charinus carajas
Lineage: Eukaryota; Metazoa; Arthropoda; Arachnida; Amblypygi; Charinidae
Description: tRNA-Glu
Source: RNAcentral